This is a long non-coding RNA of Helianthus annuus (common sunflower), 289 nucleotides long. RefSeq lists it as uncharacterized. The transcript is spliced from 2 exons. NCBI's taxonomy places the organism in Eukaryota, Viridiplantae, Streptophyta, Magnoliopsida, Asterales, Asteraceae. The record is from RefSeq and is a predicted model, not a curated record.
UGCUUCCCUGCUCCUCUCUCUCUCUCUCUCCGGCGAUUCCAGAUCUAGGGUUUUUCUCCAUCACGUUUCUACUACUCCAAUUUCUCAUGGAAAUCAUUGGAAUCAAACUCAAGUCUAGGUUUUGAACUUCACGGAGAGUUGAAGAUGAUGCAACCUGUUGUUUUAAUUGGUGGUGGUUAGCAACGAUAGAGAUGGUGGUGGUCUGCGGCUUGUGGUGGUAAUGGUUAGCGUCAACAGAUUCUGGUGACCCAACCUAGGGUUUAGAGUUUCGACCAGAUUCUGGUAGCCC